AUCGCUUCUCGGCCUUUUGGCUAAGAUCAAGUGUAGAUAUGUCUAGAAAGAUACCAAAGCUAAUCAAUUGAAAGUUGCAUAUUAUGUUUCUCAUUAAGGUUGAUUUUUGCACAAUAACAAUAAUUAUAACAUUGAACCCUAU
This 142-nucleotide small nuclear RNA is filed under the name Heterocephalus glaber (naked mole-rat). RNAcentral describes it as "U2 spliceosomal RNA". It matches the Rfam family "U2 spliceosomal RNA". From Rfam's summary of the family: U2 is a small nuclear RNA (snRNA) component of the spliceosome (involved in pre-mRNA splicing). Complementary binding between U2 snRNA (in an area lying towards the 5' end but 3' to hairpin I) and the branchpoint sequence (BPS) of the intron results the bulging out of an unpaired adenosine, on the BPS, which initiates a nucleophilic attack at the intronic 5' splice site, thus starting the first of two transesterification reactions that mediate splicing. Lineage: Eukaryota; Metazoa; Chordata; Mammalia; Rodentia; Bathyergidae. The record is from Rfam by way of RNAcentral.